CUCGGGUUCUACUUUUCAGUAAACACUUUGUGGUGGCCACAGAAUAGCCUAAUGCAUGGUCUGGUCUAUUUGUAAUGUUAGAAGCCAUUAAUGAUCAUUGCAUAAUGAUCACUUCUGUUGUUCAGCAAGAAGUUGCUAAGUGUCAUUCUUCUUGUUCCUUCUUCACUUACAAGCUGCAAUAUUACAAAAGGAGCCUUCUUUCAUCAGCUGUUUGGUGACUGAGGCACUGUCCCUACAGAAAGCCCAGCACCACUGCCUGCUAUCUGUGUGCCCAUGGGCAAGUUGCUCAGCACUCCUUUUCCAGCUAUCUGUGGGGAAGUUCGCUGCUGGAAGGAGAUUAUGCAUGUCAAGCUCCUGACAGUAACUUGCAUUAUGCUAUUAUAUCCCUUAUGGAAUGAGAGAGGAAGGCAUGGAGUCCAGGAAUAAAUGACA
Molecule: long non-coding RNA, 432 nt
Filed under: Fukomys damarensis (Damara mole-rat)
Lineage: Eukaryota; Metazoa; Chordata; Mammalia; Rodentia; Bathyergidae
Description: lncRNA (ENSFDAG00000031839.1)
Source: RNAcentral